This 599-nucleotide ribosomal RNA is filed under the name uncultured Lachnospiraceae bacterium. RNAcentral describes it as "bacterial SSU rRNA". It matches the Rfam family "Bacterial small subunit ribosomal RNA", at positions 90 to 707 of the family's 1533-position model. Lineage: Bacteria; Bacillati; Bacillota; Clostridia; Lachnospirales; Lachnospiraceae. The record is from RNAcentral.
UUCUAGUGGCGGACGGGUGAGUAACGCGUGGGUAACCUGCCUUAUACAGGGGGAUAACAGUCAGAAAUGGCUGCUAAUACCGCAUAAGCGCACAGAGCUGCAUGGCUCAGUGUGAAAAACUCCGGUGGUAUAAGAUGGACCCGCGUUGGAUUAGCUAGUUGGUGGGGUAACGGCCCACCAAGGCGACGAUCCAUAGCCGGCCUGAGAGGGUGAACGGCCACAUUGGGACUGAGACACGGCCCAGACUCCUACGGGAGGCAGCAGUGGGGAAUAUUGCACAAUGGGGGAAACCCUGAUGCAGCGACGCCGCGUGAAGGAAGAAGUAUCUCGGUAUGUAAACUUCUAUCGGCAGGGAAGAUAGUGACGGUACCUGACUAAGAAGCCCCGGCUAACUACGUGCCAGCAGCCGCGGUAAUACGUAGGGGGCAAGCGUUAUCCGGAUUUACUGGGUGUAAAGGGAGCGUAGACGGUGUGGCAAGUCUGAUGUGAAAGGCAUGGGCUCAACCUGUGGACUGCAUUGGAAACUGUCAUACUUGAGUGCCGGAGGGGUAAGCGGAAUUCCUAGUGUAGCGGUGAAAUGCGUAGAUAUUAGGAGGAAC